Molecule: ribosomal RNA, 757 nt
Filed under: uncultured Rhodocyclaceae bacterium
Lineage: Bacteria; Pseudomonadati; Pseudomonadota; Betaproteobacteria; Rhodocyclales; Rhodocyclaceae
Description: bacterial SSU rRNA
Rfam family: Bacterial small subunit ribosomal RNA
Source: RNAcentral
UGCGCAGGCGGACUUGUGCGUCAGAGGUUAAAUACCACCGCUCAACGGUGGAAAUGCCUUUGAUACGGCAAGUCUUUAGUACGAGAGAGGAUGGUAGAAUUCCUGGUGUAGCGGUGAAAUGCGUAGAUAUCAGGAGGAAUACCGAUGGCGAAGGCAGGUCCCUGGGCUGAUACUGACGCUCAUGCACGAAAGCGUGGGGAGCAAACAGGAUUAGAUACCCUGGUAGUCCACGCCCUAAACUAUGUCGACUGGUUGUUGGGGGUUUGACACUCUCAGUAACGAAGCUAACGCGUGAAGUCGACCGCCUGGGGAGUACGGCCGCAAGGUUAAAACUCAAAGGAAUUGACGGGGACCCGCACAAGCGGUGGAUUAUGUGGAUUAAUUCGAUGCAACGCGAAAAACCUUACCUACCCUUGACAUGUCCUGGAGGCGGAAGAGAUUCCGCUGUGCCCGAAAGGGAACGGGAACACAGGUGCUGCAUGGCUGUCGUCAGCUCGUGUCGUAAGAUGUUGGGUUAAGUCCCGCAACGAGCGCAACCCUUGUCAUUAGUUGCUACAUUCAGUUGGGCACUCUAAUGAGACUGCCGGUGACAAACCGGAGGAAGGUGGGGAUGACGUCAAGUCCUCAUGGCCCUUAUGGGUAGGGCUUCACACGUAAUACAAUGGUGCGUACAGAGGGUUGCCAAGCCGCGAGGUGGAGCCAAUCCCAGAAAGCGCGUCGUAGUCCGGAUUGCAGUCUGCAACUCGACUGCAUGAAG